AUUGAACGCUGGCGGCAGGCCUAACACAUGCAAGUCGAGCGGAUGAAGGGAGCUUGCUCCUGGAUUCAGCGGCGGACGGGUGAGUAAUGCCUAGGGAUCUGCCUGGUAGUGGGGGAUAACGUCCGGAAACGGGCGCUAAUACCGCAUACGUCCUGAGGGAGAAAGUGGGGGAUCUUCGGACCUCACGCUAUCAGAUGAGCCUAGGUCGGAUUAGCUAGUUGGUGGGGUAAAGGCCUACCAAGGCGACGAUCCGUAACUGGUCUGAGAGGAUGAUCAGUCACACUGGAACUGAGACACGGUCCAGACUCCUACGGGAGGCAGCAGUGGGGAAUAUUGGACAAUGGGCGAAAGCCUGAUCCAGCCAUGCCGCGUGUGUGAAGAAGGUCUUCGGAUUGUAAAGCACUUUAAGUUGGGAGGAAGGGCAGUAAGUUAAUACCUUGCUGUUUUGACGUUACCAACAGAAUAAGCACCGGCUAACUUCGU
RNAcentral lists this ribosomal RNA (483 nucleotides) under uncultured bacterium. RNAcentral describes it as "partial 16S ribosomal RNA". It matches the Rfam family "Bacterial small subunit ribosomal RNA", at positions 30 to 506 of the family's 1533-position model. The record is from RNAcentral.